CAGCAGCCGCGGUAAUACGAAGGGUGCAAGCGUUACUCGGAAUUACUGGGCGUAAAGCGUGCGUAGGUGGUGGUUUAAGUCCGUUGUGAAAGUCCUGGGCUCAACCUGGGAAUUGCAGUGGAUACUGGGUCACUAGAGUGUGGUAGAGGAUAGUGGAAUUUCCGGUGUAGCAGUGAAAUUCGUAGAUAUUCGCAGGAACACCAGUGGCGAAGGCGGCUAACUGGUCCAUAACUGACGCUGAGGUGCGAAAGCGUGGGGAGCAAACAGGAUUAGAUACCCCAGUAGUCCCUGUCUCUUAUAC
This 301-nucleotide ribosomal RNA is filed under the name uncultured bacterium. RNAcentral's name for it is "partial 16S ribosomal RNA". It matches the Rfam family "Bacterial small subunit ribosomal RNA", at positions 509 to 807 of the family's 1533-position model. The record is from RNAcentral.